UAUCUCUGUAGAGUCUGCAUAUCAAUAAGCGGAGGAAAAGAAACUAACAAGGAUUCCCCUAGUAACGGCGAGUGAAGCGGGAAGAGCUCAAAUUUGAAAUCUUCAAGGUUUGACCUUGACGAAUUGUAGUUUAAAGAAGUGUUUUCGGUUAGAGGAGUAGUAAAAGUUCUUUGGAAUAGGACAUCAUAGAGGGUGAGAAUCCCGUAUUUGACUAUUCUUUCUAGCUUUGUGAUACACUUUCAAAGAGUCGGAUUGUUUGGGAAUGCAGUCCAAAAUGGGUGGUAAAUUUCAUCUAAAGCUAAAUAUUGGCGAGAGACCGAUAGCGAACAAGUACCGUGAGGGAAAGAUGAAAAGAACUUUGAAAAGAGAGUUAAACAGGUACGUGAAAUUGUCAAAAGGGAAGCGUUUGACACCAGUGUUGUUUUUCCGAAAAUCAAUUAAAAAUUGAUUCAUGCCAGGUUGUAUUGACCUUAUCAGCUUGCAAUUUGGUUUUGGGUCUCUUUUUGAUGCACUUUUCGGUUAACAAGUCAACAUCAAUUUCCUUUGCUGUAAAAAGGUAAGAGGAAGGUGGCUUCAAUUUCGGUUGAAGUGUUUAUAGCCUUUUAUCUCUGCAGUCGGGGAGAUUGAGGUCUGCAGCGUAGAUCCUUCGGGGCUAGAUACAUUUAUGCUAAGUUAUAGCUUUUCAUAGACAACUUGUUGACUAUGUUUAGUCAUGUAGCUUACUCGUAAGUGCUAUUUUACCUACGCUUAGGAUGUUGAAGACUCUACAGAGAUA
Molecule: ribosomal RNA, 775 nt
Filed under: uncultured Neocallimastigales
Lineage: Eukaryota; Fungi; Neocallimastigomycota; Neocallimastigomycetes; Neocallimastigales
Description: partial large subunit ribosomal RNA
Rfam family: Eukaryotic large subunit ribosomal RNA
Source: RNAcentral